UACGAGGGGUGCAAGCGUUAUUCGGAAUCAUUGGGCGUAAAGGGUGCGUAGACGGUAUGAUAAGUUCGUUGUUAAAGAUCUUGGCCUAACUAAGAAUAUGCGAUGAAAACUAUCAAACUAGAGGGUGAGAGAGAGAAGUGGAAUUCCCGGAGUAGCGGUAAAAUGCGUGGAUCUCGGGAGGAACACCAAUGGCGAAGGCAGCUUCUUGGCUCAUUUCUGACGUUGAGGCACGAAAGCGUGGGGAU
This 245-nucleotide ribosomal RNA is filed under the name uncultured bacterium. RNAcentral describes it as "partial 16S ribosomal RNA". It matches the Rfam family "Bacterial small subunit ribosomal RNA", at positions 524 to 768 of the family's 1533-position model. The record is from RNAcentral.